Zootermopsis nevadensis is the source of this 1308-nucleotide long non-coding RNA. RefSeq lists it as uncharacterized. The record is from RefSeq and is a predicted model, not a curated record. NCBI's taxonomy places the organism in Eukaryota, Metazoa, Arthropoda, Insecta, Blattodea, Termopsidae.
CGUAGGAUGCAUUCUGAAGUCCAAUCCAGAUCUGUCAUGUAUUGCGAGGCUCUGCAAGUUAUUUUUUUGUCAUUUUAGCGUGUGUUGAUGUCAUCUUUCUCUUGUGUUGAAGACGUAAAGUAAGAAAAAUAUCGAUUGCAUUGCAGGUAGGCGUGCCUGCAAGCAGAUAAGAUACCAUCAUUGCUACAGAGGUAACAGGACUUUGCAUCGGGAGCUGACAUGACCAUUGUGCAUGAUGGACAUAAAUCAUCAGGCUUUAAGGGUUGAGAUGAAACACAUACACCUCAGUUUUUGUGACUUCCUUGUGGAAUUGGAGUAUUGAUUUAUAUUUGCAGUGUACUAGCUACAAUGACAGGUUGCAAUUAUGGUUAUGUGGCCACCUCACCACAGUUGCACACUUUAAAUGCUUAGUGACAAAGUUUCGGGUGUUUGUAGCAUGCCUCAUAAGGCCACAAGGAAGACCUCAGGCCUUCAUGCUUCUGCAUGCUGUCCGAGGAGGUGUACAGUUAUAGUUUUGGUGUGAUUGCCUAGUCUGUAUAAAACAGGAGUUUGAGAUCAGGGGAUUGAUGCUAGAGAGGAUGUUCCGAGUGGCAACUUUCUUGUGAACUGUAUCUCCCCUUUUGUGUAUAUAUAGAGUGUGUACUGGUAUUACGGUGUUACACCAAGACAUGGCAGACCAUCUUGUCUGAAUAUUAGUGUUUUCAGAAGAUCUGAUGUGUACGUGAUGGGGAACCAGCUUGCAUGGAGUUGGAGAUGUGAUGAACCAGACAGAAUGAAGCACUUGGAGUGUUUUUGACUUGGAUAAGGAAAUGCGGUAUUCAGAGAUGAUGAAUACUCGGCAGCCUUCACGUUCCGUCCAAAAAUCCCCCGCACCCCCACAUUUUAGCUGCAGUGACACUGUGGAGCCACUGUGAUGUCCCAAGCUUAAGUGCUGCCAUCUUGACAACUCUGUUUCUUCAUUGCGGUAACAGUUUUGGUUAUUUAUUUAUUUAUUUCAAUUUAUUUUUAUGAAUGCAUUAACAGUAUGUUCGUAGUCAUUUAAAUGUAUGAAAUUAUUUAUACUCUAAAGUAAGUCUGCCCCACUAUAAGCCAAUUAGACACUUGGAGGAGAGGUGGCGUAGCUCCUACUCAUCCUUGACCUCGGCACUAGAUGGGGGCGAGUGGCCAGCAUCACGCCCCAGCUGCGCUUUACCCCCAGGAAAGGACCACAACCCAUUGGAUACAACUCUGGGUCAGUCCCAGCUGGUCUGGACACUGAUGCUAUAAGAAAAAUCUUCUGCCCCCAUCAGGGCUCAAACCUGUUAUCCA